Molecule: unclassified non-coding RNA, 494 nt
Filed under: Hevea brasiliensis (rubber tree)
Lineage: Eukaryota; Viridiplantae; Streptophyta; Magnoliopsida; Malpighiales; Euphorbiaceae
Source: RNAcentral
UUUAACUGAAAAAUUAACUCGUCCUUAAAGAAUAUAUAAAUCUAAUAAAAUGUUCCUUAAAGAUGUUGAAAAUAUGAUGAUUAUUCAAUAAUUGAUAGGAAAAUUAUUUACUGGGAAAUAUCAUGGUUUAAUUUGGAUCUCAUCUGAUCUCCAUCUAAAGUACUCCAAACCAGAUCAAUUCAUUCUUCAAAGGAAAUUUAGAAAGGACAAAAAAAAAAAAAAAAAUCAAGAAUAAGUAUAAAAGCGUGAGACAGAGAGAGGAUAACAGAGAGAGACGCAGAAAAAAGCAUUUGUAAUCUGAAAAUAAGAAAUAAUAUAAACAACAUAACAAGCUUGCACAAGAGUGUAAAUGCUAUCUUAAGUCUGAAAAUUUUCCCUUCUGGCCGUCCAAUGAAACAGUCAGAGAAAGCCACUGCAUAAUCCAUGCCGCACAACAGAUGAUGUUCACACUAUCAACCUUAGGAUUCACUAUUCAAGUCAGCAUAUUAGUGUUA